UGAGGUCUAUCGUGGAAGAACCUGUC
Molecule: non-coding RNA, 26 nt
Filed under: Mus musculus (house mouse)
Lineage: Eukaryota; Metazoa; Chordata; Mammalia; Rodentia; Muridae
Source: RNAcentral